RNAcentral lists this long non-coding RNA (1489 nucleotides) under Sus scrofa (pig). RNAcentral describes it as "lncRNA (ENSSSCG00015038285.1)". The record is from RNAcentral. Lineage: Eukaryota; Metazoa; Chordata; Mammalia; Artiodactyla; Suidae.
UCAGGGAGAAUAUUUUGGUCUCAUGAUAUCUAAUAUAACCAGAAUGUAAAUAAGCUGCAGUUUGGAGGGAAUCUUAUACCAUUUGGGGCUUGAAAACUCAUUCAGAGAGGUAUUAACUAGUACUGAGAAAAGAGGAUCAAGAGUUACAUAAGAGUCCCAGCCCUUUGAGUCAUCACCUCCAGGAGGCAAAAUAGUACAAGGACCCUAGUGAUCUGCAUUCUUACAGUGGCUAUGGGGCAAAGCCAUCCUAAGCAAGCUAGCUCUGGGGUGCCAUGCUCCCCUGCUAUUAAAUUAAGAAGUUUGUAACUAGACCUAAAAUUCUGUGAUUUUACAGCUAUCAUGUGCCCACAAGAAAAAGUCAUCGCUGUCUUCCCAUGCUUGGCAGAACACACACCCUCUCCAUCAAGACAAUGGGAGGGCAUACAGCCCUUCAACAGCUCCACCUUUCCAGGGUAGAAUGUUCUCACCAGUACUUGCGGAGGAAAAUGAGAAGAAAUGUUCACCUGGAGGAUGAGAGUUGUGCCAGAUUUGAAACUGAAUUUGAAGUCCAAAUUCCUGUGGUGGGGACCACAUUUCUUUGACCAGGCUCUUCCAUUUCUUUAUGUGAGCACAGCUCCCAGCAGGAAAUACUCAUUUCUCAAACUUUUCUUGAGACCAUUAAAUCAGUACUACAGACAGUCAGCAGUUGAAUGGACACAUCCUUUUUAUUGGCUCCCUGAUAAUCUGCACAGUGAAAUAUGGAAUUGUUCUGUACGGAGUUACCAGCUUUGGAAGCAAAAUAAGGUACCUUUCUUUCAAUAUUCUAAUUAAGUUACUCUAACCCCUCAAUCCACCUGUGGAGGGAAGAUUUCUUCCAUCCCUGAGGUCUUCCUUCCCAAAAGAAGUCCCAAGACUGAGAGGGGUUUAUGCAAUCCAGUCAAUCUGUUUUGAUGAUCAACUAUUUUAGAAAAGAAAAUAGAAUAACUUCCACGGUCAGAGUUUCAGUCUGUUCGGGCUACUGUAACAAAAACACCAUAGAUUGUGUGGCGUAAACUCAUGGUUCUGGAGGCUGGGAAGUCCAAGAUCAAGGUCGUAUUUGGUGUCUGGUGAUUCAUAGAGGGACCUCUUCUCCCUGUGUUCUUACGUGGUGGGAGGAUUAAAGUAGCUCUCUGGUGUCUUUUUGAUGAGGGCACUAAUCUCAUUCAUGAAGCUUCCAUCUGCAUCACCGAAUCACCUCCCAAAGGCCCCAUCUCCAAAUACCAUCACGUCAGGUGUUAGGAUUUCAGCAUAGGAAUUUGGGGAAACACAGAUAUUCAGUCUAGAGCAGUCAGUCACAUGGUCAUUGGCCUUCAGUUGCAGUGGUUGUUGUUGCCACUAUGCCAAUGUAGUCUUCGCCUGCUGAAGAGAGAACAGCACAUCUGCCACUGCUGACUUGAUGGGAAUUUCUCCCUCUUCAUGGGAGAGAAGCAUCGGUGUCUUGUUCAACUAAGAUUACUUUCAGCCCUAUGGU